Molecule: ribosomal RNA, 497 nt
Filed under: uncultured bacterium
Lineage: Bacteria
Description: partial 16S ribosomal RNA
Rfam family: Bacterial small subunit ribosomal RNA
Source: RNAcentral
GAUGAACGCUGGCGGCGUGCCUAAUACAUGCAAGUCGAGCGAACAGACGAGGAGCUUGCUCCUCUGACGUUAGCGGCGGACGGGUGAGUAACACGUGGAUAACCUACCUAUAAGACUGGGAUAACUUCGGGAAACCGGAGCUAUUACCGGAUAAUAUAUUGAACCGCAUGGUUCAAUAGUGAAAGACGGUUUUGCUGUCACUUAUAGAUGGAUCCGCGCCGCAUUAGCUAGUUGGUAAGGUAACGGCUUACCAAGGCAACGAUGCGUAGCCGACCUGAGAGGGUGAUCGGCCACACUGGAACUGAGACACGGUCCAGACUCCUACGGGAGGCAGCAGUAGGGAAUCUUCCGCAAUGGGCGAAAGCCCGACGGAGCAACGCCGCGUGAGUGAUGAAGGUCUUCGGAUCGUAAAACUCUGUUAUUAGGGAAGAACAAAUGUGUAAGUAACUAUGCACGUCUUGACGGUACCUAAUCAGAAAGCCACGGCUAACUACGUG